Molecule: transfer RNA, 72 nt
Filed under: Nocardiopsis flavescens
Lineage: Bacteria; Bacillati; Actinomycetota; Actinomycetes; Streptosporangiales; Nocardiopsidaceae
Description: Nocardiopsis sp. SA6 tRNA
Rfam family: tRNA
About the family: Transfer RNA (tRNA) molecules are approximately 80 nucleotides in length. Their secondary structure includes four short double-helical elements and three loops (D, anti-codon, and T loops). Further hydrogen bonds mediate the characteristic L-shaped molecular structure. tRNAs have two regions of fundamental functional importance: the anti-codon, which is responsible for specific mRNA codon recognition, and the 3' end, to which the tRNAs corresponding amino acid is attached (by aminoacyl-tRNA synthetases). tRNAs cope with the degeneracy of the genetic code in two manners: having more than one tRNA (with a specific anti-codon) for a particular amino acid; and 'wobble' base-pairing, i.e. permitting non-standard base-pairing at the 3rd anti-codon position.
Source: Rfam by way of RNAcentral
CGGUGUGUAGCUCAGCCAGCAGAGCACCCGGCUCUGGACCGGGGGGCGCGGGGGCGGAACCCGCCGCACCGG